This 1049-nucleotide long non-coding RNA is filed under the name Sus scrofa (pig). RNAcentral's name for it is "lncRNA (ENSSSCG00015039263.1)". Lineage: Eukaryota; Metazoa; Chordata; Mammalia; Artiodactyla; Suidae. The record is from RNAcentral.
CACGUCGUUGCCCGCGGCCCUGCCUCAACAGCCCCGACAGUCCCCUGGGCCGGGAAGGUCCCAGCUCUCUUCCAUCGUCGCCUUCCUCUCAGCUCGGGAGCCUCCCCUCUUCCCCCCCGCCCGAGACGCCGCCGAGGGUCCUCGAAACGGAUCCCGGAUGGGCUCGAAAGUCUGGAGGCAGAAGCGGACCUCUGGGGAGAGGACCGAACUGCCCCAGAUUUGGAGGAGACGCCUGUCAGCGCGUGGAAUGCAAGCCCUUCUGCGCAGUUAUUUUUAUUCCCAGGGCCUUUCUGCCUCGUCCUCGUCCUCCUCCUCUAUUUGUUCCCCUUCUGUUCAGCUAUUUGUGUUUUCUGAUCGGGUUAUUUUGUGAUGAAGAGAACAGAGCGCUGUUCAGCCUCGGCAUCUUCCCUCCUCCCUUCAACACAACGCAACUCUUAAUUAAACAUGGGACACCCACGCCUCCCUUCCCACAGGACCCCUUCCAUCUGCUCCCCCCCACCCCAGUCUGAAAUACCAGCCUUUUAUGGGCAGAGAAAGCCUCGUGUUGAACUUCCCAAUUAGCCAGACACAUCGCAAAAUAAGAGACUCUAAAGAGCUAUCACUCCUAUUUGGAGGCUCUUCCUUCCAGGCCUUACCUAGUACGGUUUUGGUGGCCUUAGUGUGACUUUAAAAUCCUGCAGGGCUGAGGACACGAGACCGCAGACACUCAGGUCCUGAGAAGCAUGAUCUGUGUUUUGUGGUUGAUGGGUUAGGAUUAAUACUCAUUACAAAAGAAAGGUAAAAGUUCGGGAUCGAUUUGAACUGGGACAUUUUCAUCUUUGUAAAAGGCUUCAGGGGUAACGUUUCACCAGAGGUUCUAAGAGCUUCAAGAAAAGUCCUCCUUUCCAGGCAGAACAGUCAAGAGGGUUGGACGGGAACCUUGCAUUUCUCUUUUCUCCCUUUCUGGCCACACCAAGAAGGAGGUGAUUAAUGAGCAGUAGAGUACUGGAAUCUGAGGGUCAAUGAUUUUCUGGUGCCUGGGAUCGGGAUGCCUGGGGUGGGGGUGGGGG